GUUGUAAUGUCUGGGAAACUGCCCGAUGGAGGGGGAUAACUACUGGAAACGGUAGCUAAUACCGCAUAACGUCUUCGGACCAAAGUGGGGGACCUUCGGGCCUCACACCAUCGGAUGUGCCCAGAUGGGAUUAGCUAGUAGGUGGGGUAAUGGCUCACCUAGGCGACGAUCCCUAGCUGGUCUGAGAGGAUGACCAGCCACACUGGAACUGAGACACGGUCCAGACUCCUACGGGAGGCAGCAGUGGGGAAUAUUGCACAAUGGGCGCAAGCCUGAUGCAGCCAUGCCGCGUGUAUGAAGAAGGCCUUCGGGUUGUAAAGUACUUUCAGUGGGGAGGAAGGCGUUAAGGUUAAUAACCUUGACGAUUGACGUUACCCGCAGAAGAAGCACCGGCUAACUCCGUGCCAGCAGCCGCGGUAAUACGGAGGGUGCAAGCGUUAAUCGGAAUUACUGGGCGUAAAGCGCACGCAGGCGGUCUGUCAAGUCGGAUGUGAAAUCCCCGGG
RNAcentral lists this ribosomal RNA (504 nucleotides) under uncultured bacterium. RNAcentral describes it as "bacterial SSU rRNA". It matches the Rfam family "Bacterial small subunit ribosomal RNA", at positions 108 to 607 of the family's 1533-position model. The record is from RNAcentral.